ACGUGAAGCCUCCCCAAAAACAAAUUCUUUUUUAUUUUUAAAGUAGUCUUCUUCUUCUUUAUUUCCAAAACACUUUCUCUGGGAAAAACCAGUUUCUUCUUUCUUCUUCGUUCCGUAACCCGGCGGAUAAUCCGAACAGCAGAGAUUAUUUUUCUUGGAGGAUAUCGAUGCGGUUGGUGUUGUAUAUUAUCACGAGAGGACGAGACCACGGAUGAACGACGAGACCACGGGGGAAGAACACGACCACACUGCUGAGUAUUAUGAGUCGAUGAGAUUCUGCGGUGAGUCCACGGUGGAAGGCUAGGGCGUGAAGGGUUUAUUUUUCAAGCCGAAAGUUGCGAGUUCGAAUUCAGAUUUGCAGUAAUCUAAGAGCAACUUUGAAACAAACUUGAUGGUGCAGGCCGAAACUGAAAUCGAUGUCCUCGCCAUUGCUACUACCGUCUUCAAAGUCACUACCCAUAUCAAUGACAUCUUGGCCAGAUUGGUUAGUACGAAUGAGCCAUGGAUUUUGAUAAUUGUUGGGUUGUGCAUUUUCUCUUCGACGUCGCCACACGUACUGGAUUAGAAGAGGUGGAUUUUGUGGUGGUGCACUCCCAUUAUUAUUAUUUAUGAUCACUUGGUCUUGUUGCCUUGGGGGUAUGAUGAUAGAUGAAUGAGAAUGACCAGCAACCUGGAGGUUGGGAUUAAACAAAAAUGGUGGUGUCUGGCUUUGAGUCAAACCUGGCGCAGGGUUGUUUGGGUUUGAUGUUCCAGCAGUAACAGAGGGUAGUUGGGUGAGGUUUGCUGGAGGAGGAAGAGGAAAGCGUUGAGAUGAUGACGUUGACUGUCGAUUAGGGUCCUCUGUGGCCAUUUGAGAUGAUUUCAUGAUUCCAUGUGGUCAUUUGAGUAGCCAGGAAGUCGUGAUCAUAUAACCAUACAUGGGUAAUUAAGGGAAAAGGCUGGAAGCAAGUUUGAGAAAUGAAAGGAAAAGAAGCAGCAAUAUUACAACAGAUUUGUAGCAGCACUCCAUUAUUACUACUUGGGGAGUUGGUGAGGCUAGCUGAGGCCUGAAAUUGAGAGACUGUUUGAUGAGGUAAAAACUAUAGAGAUUGUAUGAGAUCAAAUUCCACAGGAUGUAAAGGCUGAGGCUGAGGCUCAGGCUGGGGAUCCGCUUUUGAGAAAGAUGUAUGAGAUGAGAUUAUGCAGGAAAUUAUAGGAUCUAUUUAUAAUGAGGUACUAGGGGGUCAUUUAUUGUUGCACAAUCUGGUGCACAUUGCCCCAAGAGGAAAAUUUAUGGCAAUUUAUUCAAUUCGGAUUCGAUCGA
Non-coding RNA from Malus domestica (apple), 1303 nucleotides. Lineage: Eukaryota; Viridiplantae; Streptophyta; Magnoliopsida; Rosales; Rosaceae. The record is from RefSeq and is a predicted model, not a curated record.